UACGAAGGGGGCUAGCGUUGCUCGGAAUUACUGGGCGUAAAGCGCACGUAGGCGGCUUGUUAAGUCAGGGUGAAAUCCUGGAGCUCAACUCCAGAACUGCCUUUGAUACUGGCGAGCUUGAGUUCGGGAGAGGUGAGUGGAACUGCGAGUGUAGAGGUGAAAUUCGUAGAUAUUCGCAAGAACACCAGUGGCGAAGGCGGCUCACUGGCCCGAUACUGACGCUGAGGUGCGAAAGCGUGGGGAGCAAACAGGG
RNAcentral lists this ribosomal RNA (253 nucleotides) under uncultured bacterium. Its description in RNAcentral is "partial 16S ribosomal RNA". It matches the Rfam family "Bacterial small subunit ribosomal RNA", at positions 524 to 777 of the family's 1533-position model. The record is from RNAcentral.